RNAcentral lists this ribosomal RNA (349 nucleotides) under uncultured bacterium. RNAcentral describes it as "bacterial SSU rRNA". It matches the Rfam family "Bacterial small subunit ribosomal RNA", at positions 29 to 369 of the family's 1533-position model. The record is from RNAcentral.
AGUGAACGCUGGCGGCAGGCCUAAUACAUGCAAGUCGAACGGCAGCACAGUGGAGCUUGCUCCAUGGGUGGCGAGUGGCGGACGGGUGAGGAAUACAUGGGAAUCUGCCCAGUCGUGGGGAUAACGUAUGGAAACGUACGCUAAUACCGCAUGCGCCCCUUCGGGGGAAAGGUACGGGGGACCGGCCAAGGCCUGACGCGAUUGGAUGAGCCACUGUUCGAUUAGCUAGUUGGCGGGUAACGGCCCACCAAGGCGACGAUCGAUAGCUGGUCCGAGAGGAUGAUCAGCCACACUGGAACUGAGACACGGUCCAGACUCCUACGGGAGGCAGCAGUAGGGAAUAUUGGAC